Molecule: ribosomal RNA, 270 nt
Filed under: uncultured Staphylococcus sp.
Lineage: Bacteria; Bacillati; Bacillota; Bacilli; Caryophanales; Staphylococcaceae
Description: partial 16S ribosomal RNA
Rfam family: Bacterial small subunit ribosomal RNA
Source: RNAcentral
ACGUUAGCGGCGGACGGGUGAGUAACACGUGGGUAACCUACCUAUAAGACUGGGAUAACUUCGGGAAACCGGAGCUAAUACCGGAUAAUAUUUCGAACCGCAUGGUUCGAUAGUGAAAGAUGGUUUUGCUAUCACUUAUAGAUGGACCCGCGCCGUAUUAGCUAGUUGGUAAGGUAACGGCUUACCAAGGCGACGAUACGUAGCCGACCUGAGAGGGUGAUCGGCCACAUGAACUGAGACACGGUCCAGACUCCUACGGGAGGCAGCAGA